CCAUACAAAUAUGGUUCUAAACACUCUAAGGCACCCAAUCCUGUCUGAUCUUUGAAGCUAAUUACGGUUAGGUCUGGUUAGUAUUUGGAUAGGAGACCACCAAGGAAUACCAGGUGCUGUAGGGU
Non-coding RNA from Anolis carolinensis (green anole), 125 nucleotides. The record is from Rfam. Lineage: Eukaryota; Metazoa; Chordata; Lepidosauria; Squamata; Anolidae.